CCUACGGGAGGCAGCAGUGGGGAAUUUUGGACAAUGGGGGCAACCCUGAUCCAGCCAUUCCGCGUGAGUGAAGAAGGCCUUCGGGUUGUAAAGCUCUUUCGCAAGAGAAGAAAACUUGCUAUCUAAUAAAUAGUAAGCAUGACGGUAUCUUGACAAGAAGCACCGGCUAACUACGUGCCAGCAGCCGCGGUAAUACGUAGGGUGCAAGCGUUAAUCGGAAUUACUGGGCGUAAAGCGUGCGCAGGCAGUUUUAUAAGUCAGAUGUGAAAUCCCCGAGCUCAACUUGGGAACUGCGUUUGAAACUGUAAGACUAGAGUGUGUCAGAGGGGGGUAGAAUUCCAAGUGUAGCAGUGAAAUGCGUAGAGAUUUGGAGGAAUACCAAUGGCGAAGGCAGCCCCCUGGGAUAACACUGACGCUCAUGCACGAAAGCGUGGGGAGCA
Molecule: ribosomal RNA, 440 nt
Filed under: uncultured bacterium
Lineage: Bacteria
Description: bacterial SSU rRNA
Rfam family: Bacterial small subunit ribosomal RNA
Source: RNAcentral